RNAcentral lists this ribosomal RNA (253 nucleotides) under uncultured bacterium. RNAcentral's name for it is "partial 16S ribosomal RNA". It matches the Rfam family "Bacterial small subunit ribosomal RNA", at positions 524 to 776 of the family's 1533-position model. The record is from RNAcentral.
UACAGAGGGUGCAAGCGUUAAUCGGAAUUACUGGGCGUAAAGCGUGCGUAGACGGUUACAUAAGUCGGGUGUGAAAUCCCUCGGCUCAACCGAGGAAGUGCGCCCGAAACUGCAGGGCUUGAGUACCGGAGAGGAUGGCGGAAUUCCCCAAGUAGAGGUGAAAUUCGUAGAUAUGGGGAGGAACACCGGUGGCGAAGGCGGCCAUCUGGACGGAUACUGACGCUGAGACGCGAAAGCGUGGGGAGCAAACAGG